Long non-coding RNA from Raphanus sativus (radish), 700 nucleotides. RefSeq lists it as uncharacterized. The record is from RefSeq and is a predicted model, not a curated record. The transcript is spliced from 2 exons. Lineage: Eukaryota; Viridiplantae; Streptophyta; Magnoliopsida; Brassicales; Brassicaceae.
AUUAUUAUCAGAUUUUAUGGAUCUAAUCGAAUUCAUAGCGGAUGUAAGUUUGUAAAUCAAUAUAUACUUUCACACUGAAUUUCCAGUACAAAAGUACCAUUAUCUGGAGUUAGAACAAUUUUAUAACUUUUCUACUCUAAACGCUCUAAGUUCUCUGUAAACGAAAAUUGCCUAUGGUCGCCGAUUAGCCAUUCAUGGCAUAAAGCGAAGCAUCUAUAAUGGAAAGGCAUGACGAGUUUAAAGGAUACUUUGUAUCAAGCGUGAAGAGAUUUUCAGAAGAGUUGGCGUCUUUAUGGCAGUCCAACGAAAAAUCUCGUCUCUUCUUGAUUUAGUUUUCUUCUGGUUCAAUUCUGAUGAUUGAAGGAUUCUCUUCUCAAGUUGUUCGCAGUUGAAAGUAGAAAGCUUCAAUAUUUGGUAUCGGAAUUCCCUGUUCGGAGCAUCCUUACUAUCUAUGGUGGAAUCUUACGACGGAGAGACAGAGCAUGAGAGGCAUCUUCGGGAAGCAAGUGGUGGUUUGGUUUUGGAGGUGCGGCCAAGUUUGAUGCUCAUCGCAUGGAGGACGCGUGUCCCUGUGACGUGUCGUUAGAAGGAACAGCCGACCCACGAGCACUUCUAGAUGUCUCUAUUUGGGCUGCUUUUCAGUUUUUUAAUGAGAUUUGUCUUUUGUUGUAAAAAUCUGAUACCAAAUGUAAUUGCCCAA